UACACUCCUACGGGAGGCAGCAGUGGGGAAUAUUGGACAAUGGGCGCAAGCCUGAUCCAGCCAUGCCGCGUGAGUGAUGAAGGCCCUAGGGUUGUAAAGCUCUUUCACCGGUGAAGAUAAUGACGGUAACCGGAGAAGAAGCCCCGGCUAACUUCGUGCCAGCAGCCGCGGUAAUACGAAGGGGGCUAGCGUUGUUCGGAUUUACUGGGCGUAAAGCGCACGUAGGCGGACUAUUAAGUCAGGGGUGAAAUCCCGGGGCUCAACCCCGGAACUGCCUUUGAUACUGGUAGUCUUGAGUUCGAGAGAGGUGAGUGGAAUUCCGAGUGUAGAGGUGAAAUUCGUAGAUAUUCGGAGGAACACCAGUGGCGAAGGCGGCUCACUGGCUCGAUACUGACGCUGAGGUGCGAAAGCGUGGUGAGCAAACAGGAUUAGAAACCCCAGUAGUCCCAUGA
Molecule: ribosomal RNA, 452 nt
Filed under: uncultured organism
Description: partial 16S ribosomal RNA
Rfam family: Bacterial small subunit ribosomal RNA
Source: RNAcentral